UAUCGACCCCCUUUUUGUGACAUAAAGAGAGUUUUUGGUGUCUAAUGCCCUUACAUUAUGGAAUAUCGUCUAUCGAGCCGAACAAGGGUCGUAACUUCUUCGACAUGUGACGAUAUCGUUUUAUUAGCAUUCUGAUUAUUUUUAAACUGAUCCGCUUCGCGGCUGCUACAUUGCAAGUAUAUGGGACGAAUUCUUACUGUGACCUGAGCGUAGCCUGGUCACGAUUAUUUUUAACAGACUUAAAAUCGACGCGAAGCUGAUCCGCUUCGCGGCUACUACAUUGCAAGUAUAUGGGACGAAUUCUUACUGUGACCUGAGCGUAGCCUGGUCACGGUAAGAUUAUUUUUUUCUAUUAAAUUGUCUACACCGCUUGAUGUGUUAUAGGACCGACGACAUCCAAAAAUAAGAAUGCAAUGCUUAUAUGUAUAUACUUAUUGGUGUCCAUUUUUAUGAAAUAAAAU
Magallana angulata is the source of this 461-nucleotide long non-coding RNA. RefSeq lists it as uncharacterized. The record is from RefSeq and is a predicted model, not a curated record. The transcript has 3 exons. NCBI's taxonomy places the organism in Eukaryota, Metazoa, Mollusca, Bivalvia, Ostreida, Ostreidae.